This is a small nucleolar RNA of Zalophus californianus (California sea lion), 74 nucleotides long. Its record names the gene SNORD26. It matches the Rfam family "Small nucleolar RNA SNORD26". Rfam says of the family: U26 is a member of the C/D class of snoRNA which contain the C (UGAUGA) and D (CUGA) box motifs. U26 is encoded within the U22 snoRNA host gene (UHG) in mammals and is thought to act as a 2'-O-ribose methylation guide for ribosomal RNA. NCBI's taxonomy places the organism in Eukaryota, Metazoa, Chordata, Mammalia, Carnivora, Otariidae. The record is from Ensembl.
CUACGGGGAUGAUACUUAAAUUGAACUCUCUCUUUCUGAUGGAUAGUGGAGAAAACAUAAGAAUUCUGAGUAGC